AUAUUGGACAAUGGGCGCAAGCCUGAUCCAGCAAUGCCGCGUGAGUGAUGAAGGCCUUAGGGUUGUAAAGCUCUUUCGCACGCGACGAUGAUGACGGUAGCGUGAGAAGAAGCCCCGGCUAACUUCGUGCCAGCAGCCGCGGUAAUACGAAGGGGGCUAGCGUUGUUCGGAAUUACUGGGCGUAACGGGCGCGUAGGCGGCCUGUUUAGACAGAAGUGAAAGCCCCGGGCUCAACCUGGGAAUAGCUUUUGAUACUGGCAGGCUUGAGUUCCGGAGAGGAUGGUGGAAUUCCCAGUGUAGAGGUGAAAUUCGUAGUUACUGGUAGGAACACCCAUUGCGAAGGCAGCUCGCUGUACAACACGUGCCGCUGAGGCGCGAAAGUGUGGGGAGCAAACC
This 396-nucleotide ribosomal RNA is filed under the name uncultured bacterium. Its description in RNAcentral is "bacterial SSU rRNA". It matches the Rfam family "Bacterial small subunit ribosomal RNA", at positions 361 to 774 of the family's 1533-position model. The record is from RNAcentral.